Molecule: ribosomal RNA, 325 nt
Filed under: uncultured Actinomycetes bacterium
Lineage: Bacteria; Bacillati; Actinomycetota; Actinomycetes
Description: bacterial SSU rRNA
Rfam family: Bacterial small subunit ribosomal RNA
Source: RNAcentral
GACGAACGCUGGCGGCGUGCUUAACACAUGCAAGUCGAACGGAUCGCAUUACUUCGGUUUUGUGGUGAGUGGCGAACGGGUGAGUAACACGUGAGUAACCUGCCCCCUUCUUUGGGAUAACGUCGGGAAAUCGGCGCUAAUACUGGAUAUUCUGGCUUCCUCGCAUGUGGUGGUUGGGAAAGGUUUUUCUGGUGGGGGAUGGGCUCGCGGCCUAUCAGCUUGUUGGUGGGGUGAUGGCCUACCAAGGCGGUGACGGGUAGCCGGCCUGAGAGGGUGUCCGGCCACACUGGGACUGAGACACGGCCCAGACUCCUACAGGUGGCUG